GUGUUCGGGGACUUAGAGGACUUGGCUUGAGACCAAAUAUUCUUGCUUGUUGCAGUACAAUGGCACUUGAUGAUAAUGUCAAGUUAAAGCUCUCUCAGUUUUGCCAUGUUCCGGUAAUGAAACAUGAAUUCUAUUUGUCUGCUUCUCUUCCAUCUCCUAAAUCAGUAACUACUAUUAUUAAGAAAUAUGACUUUUUUCCAGGCCGAAAAUAUUUUCACUCUCUAUGACGUUCCAAAUAUUUGGCACAUUCCUUUACUACUAAGAGAUCAAAAGGCACAUGAAGCAAUCUUGAAAGGAUUGAACCUACUAGGGUUUUCCCUAUGAACUCUCUAAUCCACCCUUUAAUUUUUUU
Hibiscus syriacus is the source of this 352-nucleotide long non-coding RNA. RefSeq lists it as uncharacterized. The record is from RefSeq and is a predicted model, not a curated record. NCBI's taxonomy places the organism in Eukaryota, Viridiplantae, Streptophyta, Magnoliopsida, Malvales, Malvaceae. The transcript is spliced from 3 exons.